This 253-nucleotide ribosomal RNA is filed under the name uncultured bacterium. Its description in RNAcentral is "partial 16S ribosomal RNA". It matches the Rfam family "Bacterial small subunit ribosomal RNA", at positions 524 to 776 of the family's 1533-position model. The record is from RNAcentral.
UACGGAGGGUGCAAGCGUUAAUCGGAAUUACUGGGCGUAAAGCGCGCGUAGGCGGUUUUUUAAGUCGGAUGUGAAAGCCCCGGGCUCAACCUGGGAACUGCAUCCGAUACUGGAAGACUAGAAUGCGGGAGAGGGAGGUAGAAUUCCAUGUGUAGCAGUGAGAUGCGUAGAUAUAUGGAGGAAUACCAGUGGCGAAGGCGGCCUCCUGGCUCGACAUUGACGCUGAGGUGCGAAAGCGUGGGGAGCAAACGGG